GAUAACAUACGUCAAGAAUUUAAAAUGAUGAAACACACUAACAAUAACACGAUAUAAUUACUGUUAAGGCUAUUUGAUUCUUCCUAAUGAAACUACCUUUUGUUUCCCAACCAGGUGAAGCCAAGCUUCCGUUGUAUCCAGCCCAACUACUUAUAAAACGCCAAGGCUUGAUUUGAAUCUACAAUUAUUCUAAUAGAAAGACGUGGGAUUUAUCGCUUUGGUGAAUUACACUAUACAUAUAAACACACCUUUGGAAGAUCUCUCAGUAUAGAGGACCAGGAGGCCGGCAACACCAAGUGAAAAGUYAGAGAAUUAUAAAUAGACAAACCGCACUAUUCGAAAAAUCAUCGCUAUCAAAUAAGAUGUUUUGGUGUGUUAUAUUGCUGUGUGUUUCGUGUAGCGCACAGCCCGUCGAUUUAGAAACAAGUGCUACGACAAAAAACGAUGAAAGUGCUCUUAUUGAUGAAUUGGUUCAACUAACKAAGUAUAAAUGGGAAGGUACAACCACGGUGGACAGCAAAAACAGCAUUUCUGUACACAAAAAAGAGAGAAUAUGGAACUACGCCAGAGAUGCUAGCUCACAUUUAAAUCCCUGUACACUUUCACAACAAGAAUGGGAAACAGCGAAAUAUUUAAACCAAGAUUCAUACGACUUUCAUCCUGAAUUAAUAACAGUUAAACAAUGCACAGGCGUAGGCAACAAUGGUAUCUAUAAGCAACAAUGUAUGAGACUGAUGGAUUGUGUCACUCAAUAUCAACGACAAAGAUUCCUGCGAAAGCCCAAAGGUUCAUCGUGCAUGAAUUGGCAUAAAUAUGAAGAAGACAUACCAGUGGGCUGCGAAUGUAUGAUGCAAUCAUAAAACAAAUUGACGCGGUACAGAUUCAAUCGACCUUGUCGCGAAACAGGUUGCUAAUGGCAUGGACGGURGACGAGAAUGUAUAACGAAGAAAGAAUAACAAUGUCUUUAGCGACAAAGUUCAUUAAAUCAGUAUCAAUAAAUUCACAUACUUUUA
RNA transcript from Exaiptasia diaphana, 1014 nucleotides. RefSeq lists it as uncharacterized. NCBI's taxonomy places the organism in Eukaryota, Metazoa, Cnidaria, Anthozoa, Actiniaria, Aiptasiidae. The record is from RefSeq and is a predicted model, not a curated record. The transcript has 3 exons.